RNAcentral lists this ribosomal RNA (505 nucleotides) under uncultured bacterium. RNAcentral's name for it is "partial 16S ribosomal RNA". It matches the Rfam family "Bacterial small subunit ribosomal RNA", at positions 28 to 507 of the family's 1533-position model. The record is from RNAcentral.
GACGAACGCUGGCGGCGUGCCUAAUACAUGCAAGUAGAACGCACAGUUUAUACCGUAGCUUGCUACACCAUAGACUGUGAGUUGCGAACGGGUGAGUAACGCGUAGGUAACCUGCCUGGUAGCGGGGGAUAACUAUUGGAAACGAUAGCUAAAACCGCAUAAUAUUAAUUAUUGCAUGAUAAUUAAUUGAAAGGUGCAAUUGCACCACUACCAGAUGGACCUGCGUUGUAUUAGCUAGUAGGUGAGGUAACGGCUCACCUAGGCGACGAUACAUAACCGAGCUGAGGGGGGGGGGGGGCAAAAGGGGGCUAAGACAAGGCCCAGACUCCGACGGGAGGGAGCAGUGGGGAAAGGUCGGAGAUGGGUGAAAGUCUGACCGAAGAAAGCCGGGUGAGUGAAGGAGGUUUUCGGGUCGUAAAGCUCUGUUGUAAGAGAAGAAAGGGUGUGGGAGUGGAAAGUUCACACUGUGACGGUGUCUUACCAGAAAGGGACGGCUAACUACGUG